GGGUUGUGAGGUUAAGCGACUAAGCGUACACGGUGGAUGCCCUGGCAGUCAGAGGCGAUGAAGGACGUGCUAAUCUGCGAAAAGCGUCGGUAAGGUGAUAUGAACCGUUAUAACCGGCGAUGUCCGAAUGGGGAAACCCAGUGUGAUUCGUCACACUAUCGUUAACUGAAUACAUAGGUUAACGAGGCGAACCGGGGGAACUGAAACAUCUAAGUACCCCGAGGAAAAGAAAUCAACCGAGAUUCCCCCAGUAGCGGCGAGCGAACGGGGAGCAGCCCAGAGUCUGAAUCAGCUUGUGUGUUAGUGGAACGGUCUGGAAAGUCCGACGGUACAGGGUGAUAGUCCCGUACACCAAAAUGCACAGGCUGUGAACUCGAAGAGUAGGGCGGGACACGUGGUAUCCUGUCUGAAUAUGGGGGGACCAUCCUCCAAGGCUAAAUACUCCUGACUGACCGAUAGUGAACCAGUACCGUGAGGGAAAGGCGAAAAGAACCCCGGCGAGGGGAGUGAAAAAGAACCUGAAACCGUGUACGUACAAGCAGUGGGAGCACCUUCGGGUGUGACUGCGUACCUUUUGUAUAAUGGGUCAGCGACUUAUAUUCUGUAGCAAGGUUAACCGUAUAGGGGAGCCGCAGGGAAACCGAGUCUUAACUGGGCGUUAAGUUGCAGGGUAUAGACCCGAAACCCGGUGAUCUAGCCAUGGGCAGGUUGAAGGUUGGGUAACACUAACUGGAGGACCGAACCGACUAAUGUUGAAAAAUUAGCGGAUGACUUGUGGCUGGGGGUGAAAGGCCAAUCAAACCGGGAGAUAGCUGGUUCUCCCCGAAAGCUAUUUAGGUAGCGCCUCGUGAACUCAUCUUCGGGGGUAGAGCACUGUUUCGGCUAGGGGGUCAUCCCGACUUACCAACCCGAUGCAAACUACGAAUACCGAAGAAUGUUAUCACGGGAGACACACGGCGGGUGCUAACGUCCGUCGUGAAGAGGGAAACAACCCAGACCGCCAGCUAAGGUCCCAAAGUCAUGGUUAAGUGGGAAACGAUGUGGGAAGGCACAGACAGCCAGGAUGUUGGCUUAGAAGCAGCCAUCAUUUAAAGAAAGCGUAAUAGCUCACUGGUCGAGUCGGCCUGCGCGGAAGAUGUAACGGGGCUAAACCAUGCACCGAAGCUGCGGCAGCGACACUAUGUGUUGUUGGGUAGGGGAGCGUUCUGUAAGCCUGCGAAGGUGUGCUGUGAGGCAUGCUGGAGGUAUCAGAAGUGCGAAUGCUGACAUAAGUAACGAUAAAGCGGGUGAAAAGCCCGCUCGCCGGAAGACCAAGGGUUCCUGUCCAACGUUAAUCGGGGCAGGGUGAGUCGACCCCUAAGGCGAGGCCGAAAGGCGUAGUCGAUGGGAAACAGGUUAAUAUUCCUGUACUUGGUGUUACUGCGAAGGGGGGACGGAGAAGGCUAUGUUAGCCGGGCGACGGUUGUCCCGGUUUAAGCAUGUAGGCUGGUUGUCCAGGCAAAUCCGGAUAAUCAAGGCUGAGGUGUGAUGACGAGGCACUACGGUGCUGAAGUAACAAAUGCCCUGCUUCCAGGAAAAGCCUCUAAGCAUCAGGUAACAUCAAAUCGUACCCCAAACCGACACAGGUGGUCAGGUAGAGAAUACCAAGGCGCUUGAGAGAACUCGGGUGAAGGAACUAGGCAAAAUGGUGCCGUAACUUCGGGAGAAGGCACGCUGGUGUGUAGGUGAAGUCCCUGCGGAUGGAGCUGAGACCAGUCGAAGAUACCAGCUGGCUGCAACUGUUUAUUAAAAACACAGCACUGUGCAAACACGAAAGUGGACGUAUACGGUGUGACGCCUGCCCGGUGCCGGAAGGUUAAUUGAUGGGGUUAUCCGUAAGGAGAAGCUCUUGAUCGAAGCCCCGGUAAACGGCGGCCGUAACUAUAACGGUCCUAAGGUAGCGAAAUUCCUUGUCGGGUAAGUUCCGACCUGCACGAAUGGCGUAAUGAUGGCCAGGCUGUCUCCACCCGAGACUCAGUGAAAUUGAACUCGCUGUGAAGAUGCAGUGUACCCGCGGCAAGACGGAAAGACCCCGUGAACCUUUACUAUAGCUUGACACUGAACAUUGAGCCUUGAUGUGUAGGAUAGGUGGGAGGCUUUGAAGCGUGGACGCCAGUCUGCGUGGAGCCAACCUUGAAAUACCACCCUUUAAUGUUUGAUGUUCUAACGUUGGCCCCUUACCGGGGUUGCGGACAGUGUCUGGUGGGUAGUUUGACUGGGGCGGUCUCCUCCCAAAGCGUAACGGAGGAGCACGAAGGUUAGCUAAUCCUGGUCGGACAUCAGGAGGUUAGUGCAAUGGCAUAAGCUAGCUUGACUGCGAGCGUGACGGCGCGAGCAGGUGCGAAAGCAGGUCAUAGUGAUCCGGUGGUUCUGAAUGGAAGGGCCAUCGCUCAACGGAUAAAAGGUACUCCGGGGAUAACAGGCUGAUACCGCCCAAGAGUUCAUAUCGACGGCGGUGUUUGGCACCUCGAUGUCGGCUCAUCACAUCCUGGGGCUGAAGUAGGUCCCAAGGGUAUGGCUGUUCGCCAUUUAAAGUGGUACGCGAGCUGGGUUUAGAACGUCGUGAGACAGUUCGGUCCCUAUCUGCCGUGGGCGCUGGAGAAUUGAGGGGGGCUGCUCCUAGUACGAGAGGACCGGAGUGGACGCAUCACUGGUGUUCGGGUUGUCAUGCCAAUGGCACUGCCCGGUAGCUAAAUGCGGAAGAGAUAAGUGCUGAAAGCAUCUAAGCACGAAACUUGCCCCGAGAUGAGUUCUCCCUGAGACUUUAAGUCUCCUGAAGGAACGUUAAAGACGAUGACGUUGAUAGGCCGGGUGUGUAAGCGCAGCGAUGCGUUGAGCUAACCGGUACUAAUGAACCGUGAGGCUUAACCUUACAACGCCGAAG
This 2923-nucleotide ribosomal RNA is filed under the name Klebsiella pneumoniae. RNAcentral describes it as "bacterial LSU rRNA". It matches the Rfam family "Bacterial large subunit ribosomal RNA". Lineage: Bacteria; Pseudomonadati; Pseudomonadota; Gammaproteobacteria; Enterobacterales; Enterobacteriaceae. The record is from RNAcentral.